RNAcentral lists this ribosomal RNA (230 nucleotides) under uncultured bacterium. RNAcentral describes it as "partial 16S ribosomal RNA". It matches the Rfam family "Bacterial small subunit ribosomal RNA", at positions 564 to 791 of the family's 1533-position model. The record is from RNAcentral.
AGCGCGUGUAGGCGGGCCGCCACGUCGGCUGCUGAAAUCCCCCGGCUCAACCGGGGAACGGGCACCGAUACGAGCGGCCUGGAGGGGGGUAGGGGGGGCCUGGAACUUCCGGUGGAGCGGUGAAAUGCGUUGAGAUCGGAAGGAACGCCCGUGGCGAAAGCGAGGCCCUGGACCCUUUCUGACGCUGAGACGCGAAAGCCAGGGGAGCGAACGGGAUUAGAUACCCGUGU